UUCACUUUAGUAAUUGAUUCUUUGAGACAUGAUAUAACACUAACUUGAAGAAAAUUACAAGUAUAAUUCAUGAGGAC
RNAcentral lists this small nucleolar RNA (77 nucleotides) under Jatropha curcas. RNAcentral describes it as "Small nucleolar RNA R66". It matches the Rfam family "Small nucleolar RNA R66". Rfam says of the family: snoR66 is a C/D box small nucleolar RNA, which acts as a methylation guide for 18S ribosomal RNA in plants. snoR66 has been alternatively named snoZ269 in rice. Lineage: Eukaryota; Viridiplantae; Streptophyta; Magnoliopsida; Malpighiales; Euphorbiaceae. The record is from Rfam by way of RNAcentral.